AAAAUUAAAAUACAUAAUCUGGCUGUGACAUCUGUCAUCUCAUUGGAUAUUGGGUAGUUAAUUCAACUCAUCUAGCUGGCUAGGUGGGUGUCCCCUUAGUCCCUUAAUGCUCUAUGUGCCUCCCUCCAGAACCUUGGUGGAAUACGAAAACCUUCUCCUGACGAAGAAGGAUCAGUUUUAUGUCGAAAUUAUAGGAGUAAUUAUGCUCCCCUGCUCGAACUUCCAAACAAGCCCUCAAACUGGCAAGUUACAUACAUAAAAAUUAAGCAAAAGUAUAUAUUUACAUGUAACGUUAAGUCUCUCUUU
This is a non-coding RNA of Erinaceus europaeus (western European hedgehog), 306 nucleotides long. The record is from Rfam. NCBI's taxonomy places the organism in Eukaryota, Metazoa, Chordata, Mammalia, Eulipotyphla, Erinaceidae.